RNAcentral lists this ribosomal RNA (253 nucleotides) under uncultured bacterium. Its description in RNAcentral is "partial 16S ribosomal RNA". It matches the Rfam family "Bacterial small subunit ribosomal RNA", at positions 524 to 776 of the family's 1533-position model. The record is from RNAcentral.
UACGAAGGGGGCUAGCGUUGUUCGGAAUUACUGGGCGUAAAGCGCACGUAGGCGGACAUUUAAGUUGGAGGUGAAAGCCUUGGGCUCAACCCAAGAAUUGCCUUUGAUACUGGAUGUCUCGAGACCGGGAGAGGUGAGUGGAAUUCCGAGUGUAGAGGUGAAAUUCGUAGAUAUUCGGAAGAACACCAGUGGCGAAGGCGGCUCACUAGCCCGGUUCUGACGCUGAGGUGCGAAAGCGUGGGGAGCAAACAGG